RNAcentral lists this ribosomal RNA (321 nucleotides) under uncultured Pseudomonadota bacterium. Its description in RNAcentral is "bacterial SSU rRNA". It matches the Rfam family "Bacterial small subunit ribosomal RNA", at positions 30 to 351 of the family's 1533-position model. The record is from RNAcentral. Lineage: Bacteria; Pseudomonadati; Pseudomonadota.
AUUGAACGCUGGCGGCAUGCCUUACACAUGCAAGUCGAACGGCAGCACGGGGGCAACCCUGGUGGCGAGUGGCGAACGGGUGAGUAAUACAUCGGAACAUGUCCUAGAGUGGGGGAUAACGCGUCGAAAGAUGUGCUAAUACCGCAUACGAUCUAUGGAUGAAAGUGGGGGACCGCAAGGCCUCACGCUCUUGGAGUGGCCGGUGUCGGAUUAGCUAGUUGGUGAGGUAAUGGCUCACCAAGGCGACGAUCCGUAACUGGUCUGAGAGGAUGAUCAGUCACACUGGAACUGAGACACGGUCCAGACUCCUACGGGAGGCUG